RNAcentral lists this long non-coding RNA (544 nucleotides) under Homo sapiens (human). RNAcentral's name for it is "novel transcript". The record is from RNAcentral. Lineage: Eukaryota; Metazoa; Chordata; Mammalia; Primates; Hominidae.
CUUUUCACUUCAGCAAAGUUGGUUUUAUUAGCUCUACUUCCCCCAGUUUGGUAGUAAUCCAGCUCACAAAUCCAUCCUUACAGCCUACUAAUCCAUGUUACAUCCUACUAGUUAACGAUUGUCUUCUAAAUGAGGAAUGCCUUCCAAUUAUUUUUAUGUGCAAAUACAAUACUGCAGGUGCUUAAACAUCAAUAAUGGUAAAAACAACAUGGUAAUUGCUCUAGACUGAAUGUUUGUAUUUCUCUCAAAUUCAUAUGUUGAAGCCCUCAACCCCAAUGUGGCUGUAUUUUGAGAUAGAGCAUUUACAGGAGUAAUUAAGGUUAAAUGAGUCCACAAGGGUAGGGCUCUGAUCCAAAAGAAAUAGUGUCCUUAUAACGGGAGGAACCAGAGAGCUCUCUCUCUCUGCCAUGUAAGAAUACAGUAAGAAGGUUGCUGUCUACAAACUAAGAAGAGGGCCCUCACCAGAAUUCAAUCAUGCUGGCACCUUAUCUUGGACUUUCAACCUCCAGAAUUGCAAGAAAAUAAAUUUCUGUUCUUUAAGCCA